UACAAAAUACAGAGGGAACCGAAGUCC
RNAcentral lists this small RNA (27 nucleotides) under Bombyx mori (domestic silkworm). Its description in RNAcentral is "ovarian small RNA-19989". The record is from RNAcentral. Lineage: Eukaryota; Metazoa; Arthropoda; Insecta; Lepidoptera; Bombycidae.